CGGGGCGUAGCGCAGCCUGGUAGCGCGCCUGCUUUGGGAGCAGGAUGUCGGAGGUUCGAAUCCUCUCGCCCCGA
This is a non-coding RNA of Desulfobacula sp., 74 nucleotides long. Lineage: Bacteria; Pseudomonadati; Thermodesulfobacteriota; Desulfobacteria; Desulfobacterales; Desulfobacteraceae. The record is from Rfam.